Molecule: ribosomal RNA, 253 nt
Filed under: uncultured bacterium
Lineage: Bacteria
Description: partial 16S ribosomal RNA
Rfam family: Bacterial small subunit ribosomal RNA
Source: RNAcentral
UACGUAGGGUGCAAGCGUUGUCCGGAAUUAUUGGGCGUAAAGAGCUCGUAGGCGGUUUGUCGCGUCUGCUGUGAAAACCUAAGGCUCAACCUUGGGCUUGCAGUGGGUACGGGCAGACUAGAGUGCGGUAGGGGUGACUGGAAUUCCUGGUGUAGCGGUGGAAUGCGCAGAUAUCAGGAGGAGCACCGGUGGCGAAGGCGGGUCUCUGGGCCGUAACUGACGCUGAGGAGCGAAAGCGUGGGGAGCGAACAGG